GUAAAUACGGUGAAGAGGAUUAGUAGAGAUAUGAAAGCUUUUAGAGAGCUGUUAGUUGGUGAAAAACAGUAGCGAGUAUUAUUUCGAACCUACCUUGGAGGAUGUUGCAAAAACAACACGCAUUCCUGCGUUAAAGGGAAAAUGAGGAAACGAAAAUAGAAAAUUAAAAAAUUUCAAUUUUCAACUUAAAUUUGAGUGGUACCACGGGAAAACCCGUCUCAUGU
Molecule: non-coding RNA, 224 nt
Filed under: Clostridiales bacterium
Lineage: Bacteria; Bacillati; Bacillota; Clostridia; Eubacteriales
Description: T-box sequence
Rfam family: T-box leader
About the family: Uncharged tRNA acts as the effector for transcription antitermination of genes in the T-box leader family. T-boxes are found upstream of many aminoacyl-tRNA synthetase genes and some amino acid biosynthetic genes usually in Gram-positive bacteria.
Source: RNAcentral